AGAGAAGCAUGAGCUGGCUAAAGCAUUGAGGAGUGAAGUAGGAGCAGGAAGUCCUUUAUUCUAGUAGACUAGCCUACUUAGUUAAGCUAUGCAGUGAUGAAUUAGAAGUAAUACAUCUUAAGGCAAGGAUUUCAAAUGGUCUCUCUAUUUUUUCUCUUUCCUUCCAUCUGAUUCUGCUCCUUGCCAAAUCCAUUACCUGGACACCUCUCUGCCCAAACACAACUGAGUUGUUUCAUUACAAUCCCCAAUAUUUUUGCUCGGUUAGCAGAAGGAAAUGAUUAGCAAUUGAAGCUCUGAUAUUCGUUGGGCUGUGAAGUUUAGGAUCAACAGUUAACAAGAAUUCAAAGCAAACAAAGGUAUUACAAUUUAUUUAUAUUAUGUUUGUAAUAUAAAGAUUUUGGUAUAAUGAGUUAGUUAGUGGGGUUUCGCAAACUGAAAUGAAAACUGUGAGAUAAUGGCUAACUAUGAUAUAUAUAGAAAUUAUGUUGUAUGGCAUGAGUUAAAAUCAGAAAGUAUAUAAACCAACUAGUUGCUUAUUGUUGUUCUAAUUGUUCAAGCAGGAUGGGGCAUUGAGCAUUAGAAUAGAACAGUUAGUUGUAAAAAAAAAAUUGUUACUUUACUAAGUGCUUAAAUCUUCAUGCUUUGUCUGUGUUUUGGACUGCUAUUGUUUGAUAUAUAGCUAGAGGAGAUAGGUUGGGCUGUGGAGUAAUAAGGAGGAUAAAUAUAGGUUUAUGAUAUAAACCAAUGGCCAUGAAAAGGGUAAAUUGAAACUGUGCACCCUACAUGUUUGACAAAAGUCCCAAGUGGACUGUUUUGAAUAAAAGUCAGUUAUUAGGCAAAUACAAGGCUGGGGAUUGAUUGUUGUAGUUCAUGUGAUUUUAAGUAAAGUGUUUUAGCAUAUUAAACUUAAACACAGUGCAGUUGUUUUUAGGCUAAGUCUAGCAGUUGGAAACUUUAUCAUGUCAAGUCCUUUGGGCCUCUGUGUUGGGCAAUGGUUAAGCCAUGGAUUCAAGUUUAGUACCACUUUUGAUAAGCCACUUAGAUAGCUUUAAAAUUCUAGAGUGAGAGAAUAAGUAACUUGGAGAUCUAUGGUUAAAAAUCUGGCAAAGGGGAGGCUAAGGGAUUGCUGGGCAUGGGUUAAGGGGCAGCUACUAAAUUGCAGCAACAGGUAGCCACAGGUAGCUGCUAGUGCAGACUCAAACAAACCAGUUUGGUUCCAUCACUUAUAGCAUGUCAAGAGUCAUUAGUAAAUUGGGGUCUAAAAUUACACAAAUAAGGAGUAAGGACUGCUACCUAAAGAUAGCAGCAAGUAGCAGUAAAUGGCAGCUAUAGUAGUCCGUACCAGCAACAAACAACAACUGCUGUCUUUUGGCAAUAACAGGUAGCUGCAGGACCAAUUUGACAACUGGGUUUGAUUUAUUUUGGCUACAGUUAGUAAGUGAAGAUAACUAAAGUGUAGUAAAGUUUGGGAUCAAGAGAAUACCAACAGCAGUAAGUAGCUAGGUAUCUCUUGAAAUUUGUUUUAAGUUAACAAAUAUUGUGAGUUUGUAUAAUUUAUAUGUCACUCCAACUUGUUAGCUGUCUCGAGAUUAAAUUUUGUUCAAAGGAGGGGUAAGGGAUGCUGUCAGUUAGCACUAGUAAAUAGCUUUAGCUAACUACUAAUGUAGUAUAAAGCUGGAUAAACUCAGUUGGAGCUGAGUCAACUAAAGCCACAAUAAACCAAUUGAACUCCAUAAAGUCAUAUAUAUAUGGUUGUUAGCAUAAAGGAUAAAAAGCAGGAGCUGCUGCCUUUAGGCAGUAGCAACUGAUAGUAACAAACUGUCAUAGCAGUUUUGGGAGUAUCCUACUAACCCUAUAAUGUAACUUGAAGAUAAAAUCAUGGAGUUGGAUUUAGAACCUCCUAAAUACACAUGCAUAUAAUGAAAACUCAAUUAGUUGGGUAAUGUAAAAGAAAAAAAAAUUAUAUGAAGAGACAUUGUAUGCUAGGGACUGCUAUGAUGUAAUUGGGGCAAUAAGGCCAAAUAUGGCCAUCCCAAGCUUGACUAAGCCCCACAAGGCCAAGCAAAGCUUGAUUGCCACACAGUGGGUCAAGAUGCAUGGAGAAGAAAAACAAGAAAGUUACACUUUUGUAUAUAAAGAUAAAGUUACAAAGUGUUAUGAGAACUAUAAAUUACUCAACCAAGUUGUGAAUAUCUCAAAACAUAAAGGAUCAUAGAAAGAGACUAUUUUGAUAUAGUCUUAAAUCAUGAUAGCCCUAGCACACUAGUUGUUACGAAUGAAUCUAUAAGACAAGAAAAGUAAAGAUAGAGAGAAUCAAAGCAAAUUGGAAACUAAAGUUUUACCUUUAUGAUAAACAAUUAUACUUAAUAUAUGAAAUACCUUACGUAUUCACCUUGAAUACCUAAGUUAUAAAGAAGAUUGCUAUAUUUAUGGCAAACCAAAAGAAGUAAAAGGAGUAUGAACUAAAAUCAUGAAAAGUUCAUGAACAUAAAUUAUGUUAAACCCUAUAAAAGAAAGAAAUGGUUGUUAUAAGAACAUGGAUGAGAUAUUUGAAAAAUGUAAAGAAAUAUCUCAAGUAUGGGAGUAUAAACUAAAAACAUGAUCACUGUGACUAUGUGAUAUGUGAAUAUGCAAGUUAUAUGACUUGGCUAAUUGGCUAAUAUGUUUGUGAAUGCAAAUAAUUGUGUAGGAUCUGUGAGAACAAAGUAAGCUGAAAUUGUAUCAAUAGUCUACGAUCAAGGCAAGUAUCUAAAUCUUACUCUUUAUUGAGCAAGUAUUUUGAGAUUAUUCAUAUGUUGACAGGUUCUCUAAUUUCUGAACUGUCUUUCAUUAUUUAUGAAUAUUGUAAGAUUGAAUAAUCUUUUUAAUCCAAUCAGCUUCAAAAGAUUGGGUAAGCUAUUAUAUUAUGCAUGAGCAGGUUGCAAAGAUGUCUGAGCCAUUCCUUCUGGCCAGACACAGCUAUGAAAUAUUUCAAUUUCUUUAUAUUAAGUCUUGAAAUAUUAUUGUGCCAUGAUUUAAGCUGUCCAGCUAUAUUGUUGUAGUUGGAAUCUAAAACUGAGGAUGAACAUACCCUUAAAUGGGAUAUUUUUAUUGCACUCUGGGAGUGGUGAUGUAGAACAUGAAAAUUGUUCUGGAAAAGAUAAUAUUGAUCAAUACAGGGCAUAAAUGGUUGAUCACCCUACGUGCUCGUAAGUUAAGACGGUUCAUCUGAUAAAAUUUCUGAUUGAACCUUUUCAAGAAAAGAAAAAUAUGUUCAUGGUCUUAAAACCUCUCAGUUAUUCAAUGUUGUUAUGAUAUUUUAGAACUGUGAAUGGUUCAAGAUUUAUUGUUUUACAGUUUUGAUUCACUGUCAAAGCAUGCUUCAAAGAAAACAUUUAUUUCUUGUUGAGCCUUAAAGAAUGCUAUUACUUGCUGAGCAAUUAAUGCUCAUACUUGCUUUGUUAAAAAUGUUUUCAGCUGAGCCGGCUCGUGCAGAAGGGUCUGGAAAGGACAAGGGAAAAAGAAAAGUAAUAGAAUAGCUGGAAGUUGAUGUAAUAGAUAAUUUACAUGUUUGUAAAUAUUAAAUUCAUGAAAUGAACAUUUAAAGGUCUACGUACCUGGGAUUUGAAGAACUUUGAUGUAAUAACUUUACUAAGAUUAUGUUUAUUAUAUUCUGAAUGUUUUAUAUCGUGAGCACUGAAUAAGGGUUUCAAGUACCCGAAUUUGGGGGCGUCACAGGGUGGUAUCAAAGCUUUAAGUUAGAAACCUUAGGAUGGGAACCUUUGGUUAUAACUUUAAGUUAGUGAGACAUAUAUGAAAUAAAUAACUCAUAUAGAGUUGAAAAGAGAUGGACUGUGGAAGUUCAUUAUAAAAUGUAAAUGAAAAUAAUUUAAAAAUAACUGUCAUUUGUUAUUUGUUAAAUAACUUGUAUUAUGUAUUAAUCAAGUUAUUUGUUUGUCUAUGGGAUGGCUGAAAUUCAAGAAGAAUUAGUUAUUAAUGAGGAGCAGAUCGCUCUAUAGCCUAUAGCACCUGUUCAGGCACCAGUUCAGGUCAUAGACCUAGACCUUGAUCUUGUCGUAAAGGAUGAGGACCCUGAGGAGGAGGUCAAUGAAGUAUCAUGGGGAUAUCUUUUGAAAUCCUAACCUGGUAAUGGUUAAGGAUUUUAGUAUGUAAACCUUUUGAUAACAAGGUAGAGAUGUUAUGUAAAUAGCAAAUGAGAAUGUUAUAGUAUGUUAUAGCCGGAGGAGCUAUUAAAGAUAGAAAUGUUAAGGCAUAUGUAAAAGCAUGUUAAAUAUAUAAUAAUAUUAAAUAUGUUUGUUAUGGAUGUUAUUGUUCUACAUUAUGAAUGAAUGUUCUAAUAAUAAAUGGUUUAAUAAUAAUAAUAAAUAUUAUUAAAUAGAUAAAAUGCCACCCAGAAUUAGAGGAGGAAGAGUACCUAGGGUACGAAGAAAUGUCAAUGAAGAACCUAAUAUUGAGAAUAGAAAUGAAGAGGUUCAUAAAAAAAUGAAAAUAGGAAUGAGGCCCAAGAGAAUCCUAUAUAGCAAUUUGCAUGUUUUAUGAUGGAAGGUUUUCAGAACAGGAAUGCUCCACCACCUAAUGUGAAUGUACCACCACCACCAGCUGUUCACCUGGCUAGCUUCAAAGAUUUUAAGAGUGUAGGACCUCCUGAAUUUAGAGGGACUACCGAACCAAUGAUGCCCAGUCCUGGAUCAAAGAAAUGGAGAAAGUCUUUGAGAUUGCCAGGGUAAGUAUGGAGCAGAAAACUUCAUUUGCUACCUAUAUGCUGAAAGGGGAAGCAAAUUUUUGGUGGGAAGCGAAUAAGACCAGAGCCGGUACAUGUGUAAUAAGAUGGUCAAAUUUUAAGAAACUUUUCUUUAAAAAUUACUUUCCUCCUGGAAUGCAAAGCAGAAUGGAAGUCCGAUUACUUGAUUUUAAACAAGGUGAUAUGAUUGUAUCCGAGUAUACAGCCAAGUUCAAUGAGUUGGCACGAUUUGCUCCACAUCAAGUAAAUACGGAAGAACAGAAAGCGAGACGGUUUGAGUUAGGCUUAAAGCCUUGGAUCUACAACAAGUUGUCAGUGUUAUAGAUCAGAACUUUUUCCGCUCUCCUUGAGAAAACAAUAAUAGCAGGAAGUGGUAGCUAAACAGGAGGUAGGUAUAAUAAGGAUAAAAAGAAUAAAGGUCAGUCAGAAGGGUUGGUUAAACCAGAGGGUACUAGCAAGUGGAAUAAGAAAAGGAAAUGGAAUAACUUUGGGAACAUGAGUAGUGUUCAAAGGGGACAACAAAAGAAGAAAGCUGAAGCUUGCAAGAAAUGUGGAAAGAGUCAUUUGGGCAUUUGUCUAAAAGGACAAAUGGUUUGUUACAAGUGUGGACAGGAGGGACAUAUUUCUCCUAACUGUCUAAAUCCAAAGAAAAAUUCUGCGUGUUUUGUUUGUGGAUCAACGGAUCACUUUGCCAGAAAUUGUCCGAAGAAACGAGCAGAGGGAGGAAGCAGUGGCACUAAAGUGCUUCCAAUUGGUAUAUCUACGCCAAAUAAGCCAACUGCCAGAACCUUCACUGUGACGACAAAGGAUGAGGUAACAUCUAAGGAUGUGGUUUCAGGUAUUGUCCCGAUCAAUAAUAUUAAUGCCUAUGUACUAUUUGAUUCUGGGGCAACCAGUUCUUUUGUAUCACAUGAAUUCGCUAAGCACAUAGAAAUGCCUUUAUCGAAUUUAGACAUACCCAUGAAUAUAGAAGUAGCUAAUAAGGAAGUGAUUCCUGUAGAACAUGUCUAUAGGGACUGUUGCAUUAAGAUAGGAGAACGUGGACUUACAGUAGAUCUAAUUCUGAUACAACUUGAGGAAUUUGAUAUUAUUUUGGGAAUGGAUUGGUAGUUCAAGCAUGGAGCAACCAUUGAUUACCAAAGAAAAUUUGUGAGUUUUAAACCUGCAGACCAAACGACGAUCGUGUUUUACGGCAGUAAAUCACCGAAGCAGUCACGAUGCUUAACGAUGAUGCAAGCAAAGAAGUUAUUACAAAAAGGUUGUAUGGGUUAUCUUGCAUAUAUAGUGGAUACUCAACAAAAAGGAGCGAAGAUAUAAGACAUUGUGGUAGUAAAUGAGUUUGUAGAUGUUUUCCCUGACGAGUUGCCAGGCCUUCUGCCAGACGGGAAAUAGAAUUCGUUAUCGAUUUGGCACCAGGUACGACACCAAUUUCAAAAGCACUGUACAGAAUUGCUCCUGUAGAAAUGAAGGAAUUGAUGUUACAAUUGCAAGAAUUACUGGAUAAGGAAUACAUUCGAUCCAGUACGUGUCCUUGGGGAGCGCCCGUGUUGUUUGUAAAGAAGAAAGAUGAAUCGUUAAGACUUUGUAUUGACUACAGAAAGUUAAACAAAGUGACGAUCAAGAAUAAAUAUCCUUUGCCCAGAAUCGACGAUAUUUUUGAUCAACUAAAAGGGGAGAAAUAUUUUUCAAAAAAAUAGAUUUGAGAACUGGAUACCAUCAAUUGAAGGAAAGAGAUGAAGAUGUUCCAAAAACAACAUUCUGGACUCGUUAUGGUCAUUACGAGUUUUUGGUUAUGUCUUUUGGAUUAACGAAUGCACCAUCUGCAUUCAUGGAUAUAAUGAACAGAAUAUUCAAACCAUACUUGGAUAAGUUUGUGGUAGUAUUCAUAGAUGAUAUUCUGAUCUAUUCCAAGACACAGAAUGAUCAGGCUGACCAUUUGAGAAUAGUGUUGGAAACACUAAGAAAGGAAAAGUUAUAUGCGAAAUUCAGUAAAUGUGAAUUCUGGCUAGAAAGAGUUCAAUUUUUGGGUCACGUGAUUGACAAAGAUAGAUUAUCUGUGGAUCCAGCGAAAGUAGAAGCAAUUAUGAACUGGGAGCAGCCGAAGAUGCCUACUGAAGUGCGUAGUUUCUUAGGGUUAGCGGGAUAUUAUCGGAGAUUCAUUCAAGAUUUUUCAAAGAUAGCCACCCCGUUAACUAACCUGAUAAGGAAGACAGUUAAAUUUGUAUGGAAUGAGAAAUGUGAAGAGUUUUCAAGAACUCAAGAAAAGAUUGAGUAAUGCUCCAGUGUUGUCCUUACCCGAUGAAACAGGGAAUUUUGUGGUAUAUAGUGAGGCAUCACACAAAGGUUUGGGAUGUGUCCUUAUGCAGCACGGGAAGGUUAUUGCAUACGCAUCACGACAAUUAAAAGAUUAUGAGAAAGGAUAUCCUACUCACGAUUUAGAAUUGGCAGCCGUGGUGUUUGCUUUAAAAAUUUGGAGGUACUAUUUGUAUAGAGAAAAUGUGAAAUAUAUACAGAUCAUAAAAGUCUAAAAUAUAUUUUCACACAGAAGAAGCUAAAUAUGAGACAAAGAAGAUGGCUGGAAUUGAUUAAGGAUUAUGAUUAUGAAAUCCUGUAUCACUCAGGUAAGGCAAAUGUGGUAGCUGACGCCUUAAGUAAAAAAAAAGGUCGCGAAAAAUUGAUGUUAUUAACAGAUCAAGAUGAGUUAGUAACAGCUAUGGAAAGAAUGGAGUUAGACGUUAAAUUUCCACAAAAAUCAGAUGAAAAGUUGUAUUCAAUAGAGACUUGCUCAACCCUUUUGGAUAGAAUUAAGGAAGCACAAUUUAAGGAUAGGGAAUGUGAGAAAUUGAAAGAGAAAAUUUCAUCAAGAAAAGAAGGAAAGUUUAACUUCGAUAAUGAUGGAAUUAUUAGAUUUGAAGGGAGAAUCUGGGUUCCGACAGAACUGGAACUGAAAGAAGAAAUACUACAAGAAGCUCAUUGUUCAAGAUACACAAUUCAUCCUGGCAGUACCAAAAUGUAUCAAGACCUCCGACAACAUUUUUGGUGGCCAAGUAUGAAAAGAGAGGUUGCAGAGUAUGUUAGCAGAUGUUUAACUUGUCAACAAAUAAAAGCUGAACAUCAAAAACCUAGUGGUCUAUUAUAGCCAUUGGAAAUUCCUGAAUGGAAAUGGGAGCAUAUCACAAUGGAUUUUAUGGUAGGACUUCCGAGGACGCAAAAAGGAGUUGAUGCGAUUUGGGUUAUAGUUGAUCGAUUAACAAAAUUGACACACUUUUUGCCAAUCAAGAUUAGAUAUAAUCUAGAUCAGUUAGCUAAUCUCUACAUCAAGGAGAUUAUUUCCCGACAUGGAGUGCCAGUAUCCAUUGUUUCGGACAGAGAUCCAAGAUUUACUUCAAAUUUUUGGAUAAGCUUAUAAGAACAUCUGGGCACACAAUUAAGAUUAAGUACAGCCUAUCAUCCAUAGACAGAUGGACAGACUGAGAGAACACUACAAACUCUGGAGGAUAUGCUACGUGCAUGUGUUAUGGACUUCAAGGGAAGUUGGGACGAUCACUUACCUCUGAUAGAAUUUACAUACAACAACAGCUAUCACGCUAGUAUAGGCAUGUCACCUUAUGAAGCGUUGUAUGGAAGGAAAUGUAGAACACCCUUGUGUUGGGAUGAAGUGGGCGAAUGUCGUCUACUAGGUUCCGAACUGGUACAACAAACUGUAGAAGUAGUUAAGUGGAUACGAAUGUGACUAAUAGCGGCUCAAGAUCGUCAGAAAAAGUAUGCAGAUUUGCAUAGACAGAAAAUAGAUUUUGAAGUCGGAUCGCAUGUGUUUCUGAAAGUAUUUCCCUGGAAAGGGAAGAUACGUUUUGGAAAGAAAGAAAAGUUAAGUCCUCGUUUUAUAGGACCGUUUAAGAUCUUGAGAAAAAUGAGAGAGGUAUCUUACAAAGUAGCCUUACCUCCGGAACUAGAACAUGUUCACAAUGUGUUUCACGUGUCAGUCUUACGACCGUACAAACCAUACUAUAAACAUAUGAUAGAAUAUGAGCCUAUCCAAUUUGAGAAAGAUUUAACCUACGAAGAGGUUCCUGUGCAAAUAUUGGAUAGGAAAGAGUAAAUUUUGCGAAGUAAGACAAUACCUUCAGUAAAGGUAUUGUGGAGAAAUCACAACGAUGAAGAAGCAACGUGGGAGUUAGAAGAAAGAAUGAAAAAGAAUUAUCCGCUUUUGUUUGGGUAAUUGUACUUUACGAUUUCGAGGACGAAAUCUUUGUAAGGGAGGGAAAAUGUAACAAAUCGCAUUUUCUUGAGUAAAUAAAAUAAGAAUUUAUUGGAAUAAUUAAUAUUUUUUUUAAGUAUGUGUUAUUAUAUUGCAUAUAUUAUCAUGUGCAGUAUAAUAUGUGAUGUGGUGAUAUGUCAAGUAUAAUAAUUGAUAUUUAUUAUAUUUAAUAAAUACCCUCUACUUUGACGGAAAUAAUUUACGGAUAUUUUAUCCGAAUUUUUGAAAUGCAUUUUAGAAUAUCUAAAAUACGUUAUAUAUGGUGCGAUAAGUAUAGAAAGGGAGGUAAUUGUUUAUUCUUGCCAAACACAGCCUUAAAUUAAAGCUUAACAGAUAAAACAAUUUUAAAAAAAAAUUAGCAUGAGCUGUAGCACUCAAACAAGAGAAGCAUGAGAGGGCUAAAGCAUUGAGGAGUGAAGUAGGAGCAGGAAGUCCUUUAUUCUAGUAGACUAGCCUACUUAGUUAAGCUAUGCAGUGAUGAAUUAGAAGUAAUACAUCUUAAGGCAAGGAUUUCAAAUGGUCUCUCUAUUUUUUCUCUUUCCUUCCAUCUGAUUCUGCUCCUUGCCAAAUCCAUUACCUGGACACCUCUCUGCCCAAACACAACUGAGUUGUUUCAUUACAAUCCCCAAUAUUUUUGCUCGGUUAGCAGAAGGAAAUGAUUAGCAAUUGAAGCUCUGAUAUUCGUUGGGCUGUGAAGUUUAGGAUCAACAGUUAACAAGAAUUCAAAGCAAACAAAGGUAUUACAAUUUAUUUAUAUUAUGUUUGUAAUAUAAAGAUUUUGGUAUAAUGAGUUAGUUAGUGGGGUUUCGCAAACUGAAAUGAAAACUGUGAGAUAAUGGCUAACUAUGAUAUAUAUAGAAAUUAUGUUGUAUGGCAUGAGUUAAAAUCAGAAAGUAUAUAAACCAACUAGUUGCUUAUUGUUGUUCUAAUUGUUCAAGCAGGAUGGGGCAUUGAGCAUUAGAAUAGAACAGUUAGUUGUAAAAAAAAAAUUGUUACUUUACUAAUUGCUUGAAUCUUCAUGCUUUGUCUGUGUUUUGGACUGCUAUUGUUUGAUUUAUAGCUAGAGGAGAUAGGUUGGGUUGUGGAGUAAUAAGGAGGAUAAAUAUAGAUUUAUGAUAUAAACCAAUGGCCAUGAAAAGGGUAAAUUGAAACUGUGCACCCUACAUGUUUGACAAAAGUCCCAAGUGGACUGUUUUGAAUAAAAGUCAGUUAUUAGGCAAAUACAAGGCUGGGGAUUGAUUGUUGUAGUUCAUUUGAUUUUAAGUAAAGUGUUUUAGCAUGUUAAACUUAAACACAGUGCAGUUGUUUUUAGGCUAAGUCUAGCAGUUGGAAACUUUAUCAUGUCAAGUCCUUUGGGCCUCUGUGUUGGGCAAUGGUUAAGCAAUGGAUUCAAGUUUAGUACCACUUUUGAUAAGCCACUUAGAUAGCUUUAAAAUUCUAGAGUGAGAGAAUAAGUAACUUGGAGAUCUAUGGUUAAAAAUCUGGCAAAGGGGAGGCUAAGGGAUUGCUGGGCAUGGGUUAAGGGGCAGCUACUAAAUUGCAGCAACAGGUAGCCACAGGUAGCUGCUAGUGCAGACUCAAACAAACCAGUUUGGUUCCAUCACUUAUAGCAUGUCAAGAGUCAUUAGUAAAUUGGGGUCUAAAAUUACACAAAUAAGGAGCAAGGACUGCUACCUAAAGAUAGCAGCAAGUAGCAGUAAAUGGCAGCUAUAGUAGUCCGUACCAGCAACAAACAGCAACUGCUGUCUUUUGGCAAUAACAAGUAGCUGCAGGACCAAUUUGACAACUGGGUUUGAUUUAUUUUGGCUACAGUUAAUAAGUGAAGAUAACUAAAGUGUAGUAAAGUUUGGGAUCAAGAGAAUAAGCUACUGCCCAAUGGCAGUAGCUGUUACCAACAGCAGUAAGUAGCUAGGUAUCUCUUGAAAUUUGUUUUAAGUUAACAAAUAUUGUGAGUUUGUAUAAUUUAUAUGUCACUCCAACUUGUUAGCUGUCUCGAGAUUAAAUUUUGUUCAAAGGAGGGGUAAGGGAUGCUGUCAGUUAGCACUAGUAAAUAGCUUUAGCUAACUACUAAUGUAGUAUAAAGCUGGAUAAACUCAGUUGGAGCUAAGUCAACUAAAGCCACAAUAAACCAAUUGAACUCCAUAAAGUCAUAUAUAUAUGGUUGUUAGCAUAAAGGAUAAAAAGCAGGAGCUGCUGCCUUUAGGCAGUAGCAACUGAUAGUAACAAACUGUCAUAGCAGUUUUGGGAGUAUCCUACUAACCCUAUAAUGUAAGUUGAAGAUAAAAUCACGGAGUUGGAUUUAGAACCUCCUAAAUACACAUGCAUAUAAUGAAAACUCAAUUAGUUGGGUAAUGUAAAAGAAAAAAAAAUUAUAUGAAGAGACAUUGUAUGCUAGGGACUGCUAUGAUGUAAUUGGGGCAAUAAGGCCAAAUAUGGCCAUCCCAAGCUUGACUAAGCCCCACAAGGCCAAGCAAAGCUUGAUUGCCACACAGUGGGUCAAGAUGCAUGGGAGAAGAAAAAUAAGAAAGUUACACUUUUGUAUAUAAAGAUAAAGUUACAAAGUGUUAUGAGAACUAUAAAUUACUCAACCAAGUUGUGAAUAUCUCAAAACAUAAAGGAUCUUAGAAAGAGACUGUUUUGAUAUAGUCUUAAAUCAUGAUAGCCCUAGCACACUAGUUGUUACGAAUGAAUCUAUAAGACAAGAAAAGUAAAGAUAGAGAGAAUCAAAGCAAAUUGGAAACUAAAGUUUUACCUUUAUGAUAAACAAUUAUACUUAAUAUAUGAAAUACCUUACGUAUUCACCUUGAAUACCUAAGUUAUAAAGAAGAUUGCUAUAUUAUGGCAAACCAAAAGAAGUAAAAGGAGUAUGAACUAAAAUCAUAAAAAGUUCAUGAACAUAAAUUAUGUUAAACCCUAUAAAAGAAAGAAAUGGUUGUUAUAAGAACAUGGAUGAGAUAUUUGAAAAAUGUAAAGAAAUAUCUCAAAGUAUGGGAGUAUAAACUAAAAACAUGAUCACUGUGACUAUGUGAUAUGUGAAUAUGCAAGUUAUAUGACUUGGCUAAUUGGCUAAUAUGUUUGUGAAUGCAAAUAAUUGUGUAGGAUCUGUGAGAACAAAGUAAGCUAAAAUUGUAUCAAUAGUCUACGAUCAAGGGAAGUAUCUAAAUCUUACUCUUUAUUGAGCAAGUAUUUUGAGAUUAUUCAUAUGUUGACAGGUUCUCUAAUUUCUAAACUGUUUUUCAUUAUUUAUGAAUAUUGUAAGAUUGAAUAAUCUUUUUAUUCCAAUCAGCUUCAAAAGAUUGGGUAAGCUAUUAUCUUAUGCAUGAGCAGGUUGCAAAGAAGUUUGAGCCAUUCCUUCUGGCCAGACACAGCUAUGAAAUAUUUCAAUUUCUUUAUAUUAAGUCUUGAAAUAUUAUUGUGCCAUGAUUUAAGCUGUCCAGCUAUAUUGUUGUAGUUGGAAUCUAAAACUGAGGAUGAACAUACCCUUAAAUGGGAUAUUUUUAUUGCACUCUGGGAGUGGUGAUGUAGAACAUGAAAAUUGUUCUGGAAAAGAUAGUAUUGAUCAAUACAGGGCAUAAAGGGCUGAUCACCCUACGUGCUCGUAAGUUAAGACGGUUUUUUGAUUGAACCUUUUCAAGAAAAGAAAAAUAUGUUCAUGGUCUUAAAACCUCUCAGUUAUUCAAUGUUGUUAUGAUAUUUUAGAACUGUGAAUGGUUCAAGAUUUAUUGCUUUACAGUUUUGAUUCACUGUCAAAGCAUGCUUCAAAGAAAACAUUUAUUUCUUGUUGAGCCUUAAAGAAUGCUAUUACUUGCUAAGCAAUUAAAUGCUCAUACUUGUUUUGUUAAAAAUAUUUUCAGCUGAGCAGGCUCAUGCAGAAGGGUCUGGAAAGGACAAGGGAAAAAGAAAAGUAAUAGAAUAGCUAGAAGUUGAUGUAAUAGAUAAUUUACAUGUUUGUAAAUAUUAAACUAUCAUGAAAUGAACAUUUAAAGGUCUACGUACC
RNAcentral lists this long non-coding RNA (12996 nucleotides) under Panax ginseng (ginseng). RNAcentral describes it as "long non-coding RNA (PGIN_LNC005427)". The record is from RNAcentral. Lineage: Eukaryota; Viridiplantae; Streptophyta; Magnoliopsida; Apiales; Araliaceae.